Molecule: ribosomal RNA, 386 nt
Filed under: uncultured bacterium
Lineage: Bacteria
Description: bacterial SSU rRNA
Rfam family: Bacterial small subunit ribosomal RNA
Source: RNAcentral
GACGAACGCUGGCGGCGUGCUUAACACAUGCAAGUCGAGCGGUAAGGCCCUUUCGGGGGUACACGAGCGGCGAACGGGUGAGUAACACGUGGGUGACCUGCCCUUAGCUCUGGGAUAAGCCUGGGAAACCGGGUCUAAUACUGGAUAUGACUCCAUGACGCAUGUUGUGGGGUGGAAAGCCUUGUGCGGCUGAGGAUGGGCCCGCGGCCUAUCAGCUUGUUGGUGGGGUGAUGGCCACCAAGGCGACGACGGGUAGCCGGCCUGAGAGGGCGACCGGCCACACUGGGACUGAGACACGGCCCAGACUCCUACGGGAGGCAGCAGUGGGGAAUCUUGCGCAAUGGGCGAAAGCCUGACGCAGCGACGCCGCGUGAGGGAUGACGGCC